GACGAACGCUGGCGGCGUGCUUAAUACAUGCAAGUCGAACGGAAAGGCCCUGCUUUUGUGGGGUGCUCGAGUGGCGAACGGGUGAGUAACAUGUGAGUAACCUGCCCUUGACUUUGGGAUAACUUCAGGAAACUGGGGCUAAUACCGGAUAGGAGCUCCUGCUGCAUGGUGGGGGUUGGAAAGUUUCGGCGGUUGGGGAUGGACUCGCGGCUCAUCAGCUUGUUGGUGGGGUAGUGGCUUACCAAGGCUUUGACGGGUAGCCGGCCUGAGAGGGUGACCGGCCACAUUGGGACUGAGAUACGGCCCAGACUCCUACGGUAGGCAGCAGUGGAGAAUAUUGCACAAUGGGCGGAAGCCUGAUGCAGCAACGCCGCGUGCGGGAUGACGGCCUUCGGGUUGUAAACCGCUUUCGCCUGUGACGAAGCGUGAGUGACGGUAAUGGGUAAAGAAGCACCGGCUAACUACGUG
RNAcentral lists this ribosomal RNA (468 nucleotides) under uncultured bacterium. Its description in RNAcentral is "partial 16S ribosomal RNA". It matches the Rfam family "Bacterial small subunit ribosomal RNA", at positions 28 to 507 of the family's 1533-position model. The record is from RNAcentral.